AGUGAAGGACAGGGGAGUCUGGAGUGCUGCAGUUCAUGGGGUCACAGAGUUGGAUACAACUUAGCAAAUGAACAACAAGAACAAUCCUUAAAACAGGAAUUUUAUUAUUUUUGUACUUUUUUCCUGACAUACAGGAAAAAGACAGCAGAGUCACUAUAGGAAGUUCAAAACUACAGAAAAGUAUAAAGGAGAAAAUCUGAAUCAACUGGAACUCCAACUAGAACUAAUCACACUGUUAGCAUUUUGGCAGGACAACCUUUUGAGAAUGAGCUCUUGUUUCCUUGGCAGUAAGUUCAUCAGGAUAGAGCAAGAGGCAGGUUUCCUUCCCCAUCCUGAAAAGGGAAGACCAAGGUUCAGGCAGUAAAAAUCAGGCUCCCCUUGCUUCAUGGAAGAUUUAGGCAGCUUUUGACUUUCCAAAGUCCUGUUCAAGAAGAUGUAUACCUGGAUUGUCUUCAAGGGAAGGGUUCUGGAGUAAAGGAAGAAGCAACUAGCCUUUAGCAAGUAGCCCGGCCCUGGGACAGCGGGGUUCAGAGACUGAACACGGCAGUGCCCAGGGAUGAGGAACAGUACCAACCUCCACACAGCGCCUGGAGUGUCCUGACCUCUGACGGGGGAGCCUGGGUGUUUGCAGGGAAUUAAAAACUUGCCCACCACAGUACUGGUUCUAUCUGGGAACAGCUUAGUGACUGGUGUAGUGAAUGGGGGAAUGAGGCCCUGCCUAAUGGUAAAAUCUACUUUCCAGUCUUGCUCUGAUUCUAUACCAUUUCUUCCCUCAGUCACCAGGACAGCCCCCAUGCCAGGAUGAAUUGCUGGAAGGGAAUCUUUUUAUGUUUACCUCUUGACUUCUUUCUCUUUUGAAAUUUUAUAAUUUACAAUAUUCGUUCCAUAUAAAUCCUAAGUAUUCCAGAUACUUCAGAGCUCCAUGAUUUAGAUCUAACUUUGUGCUUUGAAGAGCCUAAGUUAGGGGUUCCAUUUAGAAUCUUCAAGCAAGAGAAGGAAGAUGACGGAUGCUCUCUGGAUAGUGUAUUCCAAAUUGCUGGGAAAACAAACCACAGAAAAUUAUUUCAGAGCAUAGAUGAAACAGAGGAGGAGGUGGAAUCAAAACUUCUCAGCUCUUCAGUGGGAUAACUGCCAGUUCUAUCUUAAUGUGAGCUUUCUGCAUAGUUCACAUCUAGUUUCUAAUAUGAACAGAUGUAGAGAAUGCACAUUGGCCUUAUUCCUAGCCUCUGUAUCCUUUGUUUAUUCCCUUGGCCAAGACCUCCAAAUCUGCACAUAGAAAUCCAGGCCUUUGCUGGCCUGAGCAUGGAAUAUUUCACCAGCUUUGUCUUCCACUUAGCACUAUCCCACUCAGUCUCACGUGGCUCAGCUCUUCCAGGAAGAGACUAUUUGCUUCCUCCUUUCACCCCAGAGCCCUCCCCUUUGAGAGAACCUGCCUCUCCUGGGCCCAAAGGGCUCCCUCAGCUUGUAUAUCAUGUUCCCACAAACCCUGCAGGUUGCUUUCCUGACUAGAUGGUGAUCAGCUUACACCCUGAAGCGACAGAGACUGAGACAACCAAAGUUAACAAAGUAAGGUGGAAAUCAUGCUUCCUACAAAAUCAGUUGGCUUUGUAACUGUCUUUUCUCCUGGUCUAGCAACUGCUUUCUCCCAUGUGAAUACAAGUAUUUAUUGCCUUGUACUUGAAAUGGAAAGGCAAAUUUUGAGCUUCAAGGAAUGGGCAAUCCUGAGAGGGCAGGGGCUCUGGAAGAACAGUGGUUGGUCAGCACAGGCUGUACUCUUGAAACGACUUGACCUUUCUUCCCUCUGAGAACCUAACCUCUAGGUCAGUUUGACGUUUGCAAGGCUGGUGGCCACUCUCUCCCACUGAGGCAGCCUGUACAGUGAGUUCAGUACUGUGCUGGGAUGAAAUGUCCAUCAGUUUAAAAAUCAACCACAGCUAUUCUUGGGGCUGGGCUGGUUCCCCAUCCCAUUUUUAGCAGGAUGGGGCUGUGGCCAUGGGGCUCCUGCUAAGCUCUGGGACUGUCCAGGAGGUGGGCACUGGUGCCCACUGGGUGGGGUAGGGAAUGUGCAGUAGGAACCCUGUGCAUCAGGGCUCAGAAGAGCCAGCUGUGUCCUCCAGGCAGCAGGGAGCCGGGAGAAGAUCGUGGGAUAUAGGGUCUCAGGUUCACACUGCAGGGCUGGCCCAGGAAGCCAACUUUGGGGGAGACUGCAGUUCUCCUCUGUUACUGUGAUCAAAGGCCUCCUUCAGGUGGAACUGCUGGUCUCCAAGAAGUGAGCAAUGCAGAGGGCUGGCUAAUGCCAGAUCCCUGCCUCAUAGUGGACUCGGCCCUUGCCUCCUUUUUCUCAGACCCAAUGAAGCCUGUUGCUUCUUGGAAGCAGGAGCGAAUAUCAGCCACAUGGGGCUGUCUCACCCGGAAUCCAUCUGUAGUGCAGGUGGGCCGUGCCGGCCUGAGAGGCCCACGCCAGACACUUAGCAGGGUGUGAUCAGGCACAGGUGGCGAGGAACUGGCACUGGAGGGCUUGGUAGGUACCUUCAAGGUGGAGGAACAGGACUGUAUAUGAGCUGCCGUGGUCCUUAGCUGAUGUUUAGCACUGAUAUUUAGCUCAACAUCAGCACCGUAGCUGCUCUUGAGCACUGAUUUCCCACACUGGCUGAUGAGCGCUCUCUGGUUUCAGUCUUCUCUGGUGAAAUGCGUUUUGCAGCCGCAACCCUCAAGAUAUUCCAAGUAGAAAGCCUCCUAUCUUCCCCUGGAGGAACCACUCUUGCUGGCGAGUGGGCAGGUGCAAGAGAAGCUCUGUGGGCUGGACGCGCCCCUCGGUCCCCUAGGCAACCUCGCCUAGAGCGCUGGGCCGGGGCCUGAAGCACACGGGGAGGUGGGCAGGGAGCGAGCGGAGCACGCCCCAGGUUGCCAAGGAGUCGGGUGGGGGUGAGGGUGCGAGUGGCUCCGCCCACGCCACGUGCAAGUGCUCACGGCUGCCCUCCCGCAGGUGAGACUCAUCACAACUCUCCUUAGUCCUGCAUGCUCGGCGUCCUGUGGGCCGCUCGCCAUCCUAGCAGCCUGGCGGGGAAAUUUUGCGCUGUGCCUGAGGAUAACUCAAUUGGCAGCGUUACUGGACUAAAUUCUAGACGUUUAACUGGAAGAGCCAGGAAAUGAAGUGUAUAUGGUGGCUCUUCCUGAACCGUUCUCUCCUCCUGUUCUGCAGCCUGCCUUGCUGGGGCCAAGGAGUAGAAGGAGGCCUUUUACAAUGAAACUCCUCUCAUGCCUGGAAAUAGGUAUCAUGAGCCCAUUUGACUGACGAGAGAACUGAGGCUCAGCAAGUUCGACUUUCCCAAAAUCUUAUGGCCGUCUUGGUUAUCUGUUUAUUGGACCUGGAAAAGCUGUGUGUCUUCUUUAAGGAGAAGAGAGGCUCCAGUAUGACUUGGUGCAGCAAUAUCAGGAGUCCUUCUUGUGGAAAUUGCUAGAAAACACAUUUCAACUAACUACGACUAGGUUAAUACCAGCGAAAGGACUAGAGUUUAUCUACAUGAUGGAAACAAAGCCAUUUGUCUUCCCUUGACCCCCAUGCUUCUCAUCCUGGACCGAUAAAAAAAGACAUUAUAAGAGAAGAAGACAGAGGAAGAGAGAGUGUCUAAAAGAAUGAAAAGAGAGAAGUUGUAAGAAAAAGAGAGUAAGAGACAACCGAAAAGGGACCAUGAGCAAGAGAAAUUUGAGACUGGCAAUGGUCAUUGUUCAAGUAGAAACAUUCUGUUCGAGAACCACCUAAAUCUCAACCUAUGCUAUUAAACAGGUGCCAAAAUAGGCAAACGUC
Long non-coding RNA from Bubalus bubalis (water buffalo), 3808 nucleotides. RefSeq lists it as uncharacterized. Lineage: Eukaryota; Metazoa; Chordata; Mammalia; Artiodactyla; Bovidae. The transcript is spliced from 6 exons. The record is from RefSeq and is a predicted model, not a curated record.